GGCGGCGUGCCUAACACAUGCAAGUCGCACGAGAAAGGGUAGCAAUACCUGAGUAAAGUGGCGCACGGGUGAGUAACACGUGACUAAUCUACCCUCGAGUGGGGAAUAACUGAGAGAAAUCUUAGCUAAUACCGCAUAACACUUACGAGUCAAAGCAGCAAUGCGCUUGGGGAGGAGGUCGCGGCCGAUUAGCUAGUUGGCGGGGUAAUGGCCCACCAAGGCGAUGAUCGGUAUCCGGCCUGAGAGGGCGCACGGACACACUGGAACUGAAACACGGUCCAGACUCCUACGGGAGGCAGCAGUGGGGAAUUUUGCGCAAUGGGGGAAACCCUGACGCAGCAACGCCGCGUGGAGGAUGAAAUAUCUUGGUAUGUAAACUCCUUUCGAUGGGGAAGAUUAUGACGGUACCCAUAGAAGAAGCCCCGGCUAACUUCGUGCCAGCAGCCGCGGUAAUACGANGGGGGCAAGCGUUGUUCGGAUUUAUUGGGCGUAAAGGGUGCGUA
Molecule: ribosomal RNA, 503 nt
Filed under: uncultured Acidobacteriota bacterium
Lineage: Bacteria; Pseudomonadati; Acidobacteriota
Description: bacterial SSU rRNA
Rfam family: Bacterial small subunit ribosomal RNA
Source: RNAcentral